GGUGGAAGAUUCCAAAGGGAUCGCAUUGAUCCAAUAAUUCUCUCUGUCAACUUUACUAAGUUUACUUUGAUUCUCCGGAUCGGAUCAUGCCAUCUCUAUGGAAUUUUCUAU
Molecule: microRNA precursor, 111 nt
Filed under: Ipomoea nil (Japanese morning glory)
Lineage: Eukaryota; Viridiplantae; Streptophyta; Magnoliopsida; Solanales; Convolvulaceae
Description: mir-393 microRNA precursor family
Rfam family: mir-393 microRNA precursor family
Source: Rfam by way of RNAcentral